ACGCAAUAGAUACCCUGUAGUCCAGCCGUAAACGGAUGCUCGCUAGGUGUCAGGCAUGGCGCGACCGUGUCUGGUGCCGCAGGGAAGCCGUGAAGCGAGCCACCUGGGAAGUACGGCCGCAAGGCUGAAACUUAAAGGAAUUGGCGGGGGAGCACAACAACGGGUGGAGCCUGCGGUUUAAUUGGACUCAACGCCGGACAACUCACCGGGGGCGACAGCAAUAUGUAGGCCAAGCUGAAGACUUUGCCUGAAUCGCUGAGAGGAGGUGCAUGGCCGUCGCCAGUUCGUACUGUGAAGCAUCCUGUUAAGUUCAGGCAACGAGCGAGACCCGUGCCCACUGUUACCAGCAUGUCCUCCGGGACGA
RNAcentral lists this ribosomal RNA (364 nucleotides) under uncultured bacterium. RNAcentral describes it as "bacterial SSU rRNA". It matches the Rfam family "Archaeal small subunit ribosomal RNA", at positions 724 to 1087 of the family's 1478-position model. The record is from RNAcentral.